UUCACCAAGAUAAAAUUCAGUUGCCUAAGGCUGCAUUUCCUGAUGGAAGCUGUAGGGGAGAAUCUGUUUCCUGCUUAUCAGGGACUCUUGUGAUUACAUUGGGCUCACCCAGAUAG
This 116-nucleotide long non-coding RNA is filed under the name Callithrix jacchus (white-tufted-ear marmoset). RNAcentral describes it as "lncRNA (ENSCJAG00000082342.1)". Lineage: Eukaryota; Metazoa; Chordata; Mammalia; Primates; Cebidae. The record is from RNAcentral.